This 253-nucleotide ribosomal RNA is filed under the name uncultured bacterium. RNAcentral describes it as "partial 16S ribosomal RNA". It matches the Rfam family "Bacterial small subunit ribosomal RNA", at positions 524 to 776 of the family's 1533-position model. The record is from RNAcentral.
UACGAAGGGUGCAAGCGUUACUCGGAAUUACUGGGCGUAAAGCGUGCGCAGGCGGUUUUGUAAGCCAGAUGUGAAAUCCCCGGGCUUAACCUGGGAAUGGCAUUUGGGACUGCAAGGCUUGAGUUUGGCAGAGGAGACUGGAAUUCCUGGUGUAGCAGUGAAAUGCGUAGAUAUCAGGAGGAAUACCGAUGGCGAAGGCAGGUCUCUGGGCUAGAACUGACGCUCAUGCACGAAAGCGUGGGGAGCAAACAGG